RNAcentral lists this unclassified non-coding RNA (349 nucleotides) under soil metagenome. RNAcentral describes it as "partial contains 5.8S ribosomal RNA, internal transcribed spacer 2, and large subunit ribosomal RNA". The stretch from base 1 to 120 matches the Rfam family "5.8S ribosomal RNA", at positions 35 to 154 of the family's 154-position model. The record is from RNAcentral.
GAUGAAGAACGUAGCGAAAUGCGAUACGUAAUGUGAAUUGCAGAAUUCAGUGAAUCAUCGAGUCUUUGAACGCACAUUGCGCCCCCUGGUAUUCCGGGGGGCAUGCCUGUCCGAGCGUCAUUGCUGCCCUCAAGCACGGCUUGUGUGUUGGGCCUCCGCCCCCCGGCUCCCGGGGGGCGGGCCCGAAAGGCAGCGGCGGCACCGCGUCCGGUCCUCGAGCGUAUGGGGCUUCAUCACCCGCUCCGUAGGCCCGGCCGGCGCCCGCCGGCGACCCCCCUCAAUCUUUCCAGGUUGACCUCGGAUCAGGUAGGGAUACCCGCUGAACUUAAGCAUAUCAAUAAGCGGAGGA